UGCACGACUACCCCGGGCUCGGCCCCGGGCUGGGCAGCUCACUGGGCAGAGUCUGGCUCACUGGAUCACGUGUUAGAGAACUGAGGAUCUGUGUUGCUUGGGCUGUUCUGGAACUCUCUGUAGAUCAGGCUAUCCUGGAAAUACUUCUAAGCGCCAAAAGCAGUAUGACUGCAGAAUUCAUGAAACAAUGUCCAAGCGAUCUAUACAAGUGAAAGCUAAACCAGGUAUGAGGGGGCUUCACAGCUACAAUCCCAGCACUGGGGAGGCUGAGUCAGGAGGACUGCUGGGAGUUCUAGCAGGGCAUCUUAGGUAACUGAGUGAGAUCCUGUCUUACUCAAACAGUAUUUGAAUAGAGUUAAUCUGCUCCCAGGGACAUGUUGAAGAGGCUCAUGACUAUAGUAGAGGGUUCUAAUAAGAGCCUCUGAGUUAAUUCAGUGACUGAGAUGAAUAGGUCAAUAAAAAGUGAGACAAUCAUAAUAACAACAACAAUAAAUAAUAUUCAAACCUUUCUAAGCAAAUGUUUUUGAAAGCCAAAUGUUUGUCUCAAUGAAGCUGAACUGAAAGAUGUAGAACCCCAGUCUUGACAUUGAUCUCAGGGUGUACUCAAAGGCUGAGCACCUCCUCAAUGGGAAGACCUGGUAGGCCAAGAUUCUAUUAAAGAUGGGUCUAAAACUAUGUCUGGCACACCCCCUUGAACAGUGUAAGACAGAGGCAGCAGGCCCGCUAGCAUGUGUGUCUUCACUCACGCCCACAGAAACCGCUAAGAAUUAAAUCCUACAAACGCGAAAGGACGUCUGCAAAUACUAAGAGCUUGUCCAUGACCACAUGCCACACGUUAGACUCUGGAAAGAGGCAUGACUGCACUCAGAUGACCUGAAAGGAUUUUAAUGAGGCAGCAUCACAAAAGGUAAUCAUCAAGAAAGCUGAAGGAUUCCGGUUUCUCAGUAACAGCUCUGUGGAACCAAACAGCAGUCUGAAGAGCAGAAUAGCCUGUUAAAUGUGUGUUUUGUGCAAGAGCGGGUGCCCAGUUUAAGAAAGACUUGGCUAUCUCACGGCCACGAGCCGGCUCACCUGCCCUUGUCAGCAUCUGGGUAAAACCCUCCUCAGUUUCAUCAUACACUCUUGAUGUUGACUUGGGUACAGAGAUCGUCUUUCAGGUGAGUCAUUCUCUUCUCAGUUAUCAUGACAUUGGAAACCUGGGCACGAUCCCCUGGUCACUGGAAAAGAAUCCCACCCAUUAUGAUCUAGUUGACAGGCUCCAUUAUGGUUUUGUUAAUGAGGUAGCAACCAUGACUCUCAUAGACUUUUAAGCCCCGAUAAAAUAAUUCCCAGAUUAUUCAUCUAGAAGAAAGGUGAGACUAUACAGUUUCGCUAAGCAGCCACCUCUCCUUCAGGCUUCGAAGCCCAGAAUGGUAGUAGUCACCUGGAGCUAACUGACGGUGUGAAUAAGCACACACAAAACACCAGCCCAAUUCGCAUACCUGCUAACACAUUCUCUGUGUAACCUCAACAGAUGUGCUAACUCUGAACAAAGUUGCAAAGAAAAUAUGCUCUAAAGGUUCUCAGUAUGUAAGCAUUUGGCCUUGAACCUGCAAUCCUCCUGUCUCAGCCAACUGAGUGGUGGGACUUUAGGCCUGCGUGCCCAUAUUCCUGGCACCCUUAGAAAAAUUUGACAUUUGUCUGCUUGGGUGAACACUGCCGUUUCUGUUUUCUCUUCAGAAUAUCCUCAUCUUCAAGUAGAAACCUGUGUAAACAGAAGGCCAGCUUUCUUCAUUGCUCUUCAGAAACGGGUCUUAUGCUGCUUGUAGCCGGGUGAAAACAUUUCCUUUGGUCCAAUUGUACCAUUCACAGUCCAAACCUAAGGAGACCAUUAAAGAGCCACAACUAAUGAAAAGGCAGAGAACUGACCGUGGGGGGCCCAGCCAAACUGAAGAAACACACUCCGGUACUCUGGGCUUAAGGAACAUCAUGUAAGAAUGGACAGAAACAUUAUAAGGCCCAGAGGACCAAGAAGUCUGCUGUGAGAAUGUGCCUUCCAGCUCUACCAGGGGAACUAGGCCCAGGAAAUCUCAACAGCAUGGCUGAGUAAACAAGACCCAGACAGUUUCAACAGUUGACAUCCCACUAUAGAUAGGAGAAAUGUCAUGAAGAACUACAAGUGAUUAACAUCUGUGGGGAGAGUGGAAAUUAUUCUUCCCUAGGGAUGAGUCACCUGAUUGGUCAGGCAUAAAAAUAUAUACAUAAAUGCAA
This 2250-nucleotide small RNA is filed under the name Rattus norvegicus (Norway rat). RNAcentral's name for it is "uncharacterized LOC108350580". The record is from RNAcentral. Lineage: Eukaryota; Metazoa; Chordata; Mammalia; Rodentia; Muridae.